UACGGGGGGGGCAAGCGUUGUUCGGAAUUACUGGGCGUAAAGGGCUCGUAGGCGGCCAACUAAGUCAUACGUGAAAUCCCUCGGCUUAACCGGGGAACUGCGUCUGAUACUGGAUGGCUUGAGUUCGGGAGAGGGAUGCGGAAUUCCAGGUGUAGCGGUGAAAUGCGUAGAUAUCUGGAGGAACACCGGUGGCGAAGGCGGCAUCCUGGACCGAAACUGACGCUGAGGAGCGAAAGCGUGGGUAGCAAACAGG
RNAcentral lists this ribosomal RNA (253 nucleotides) under uncultured bacterium. RNAcentral's name for it is "partial 16S ribosomal RNA". It matches the Rfam family "Bacterial small subunit ribosomal RNA", at positions 524 to 776 of the family's 1533-position model. The record is from RNAcentral.